UUCUGAGUCUUUUGCAAGAUUCCACAAAGCAAUGUCACGCUGCCCCGGGGAUGGAGUCGGCGCCCCCAGAGCCUGGCCCUGGUGUCUAACCCUUCCUCCUCCUACGGAUACCCUGGAAACUACUAUUUGUCAUGGAUUCCUACUCCCCGGGGCCCUCACCCACAGGACCUUCUCUCUACACAUGCCUACGUCUUCAGAAACAGUCUCCCACGGCCAGCUUGCCAGUAACUCAAUUCUUGCUUCUCUGAGAGAUUGGUGAAGACGGCACGCCUGCUGGCCCCCCUGGUGCGGGCGGCCCCUGCUCU
Long non-coding RNA from Physeter macrocephalus (sperm whale), 305 nucleotides. RefSeq lists it as uncharacterized. The record is from RefSeq and is a predicted model, not a curated record. The transcript is spliced from 3 exons. Lineage: Eukaryota; Metazoa; Chordata; Mammalia; Artiodactyla; Physeteridae.